GAGCUCUAAGAAAAGCUUUUUGACUGUGAUUUAUUGAAUCCUGUAGGAGGCACGGCAGAAAUCAGGGUAUUACAUUAAGAACUUGCCGAGCUCAUUCUGAAUUCUCAGCUUGCCCUCCAGCAUAUCAGCAGUGCCUACAAAUGUAAUAGGAACGCUUCCCAUUCUAUCAUUCAGUAUCGCAUCUCUUGAAACGGAGGGAAUUAAAGCCCUGGAAUCCCGAACUGCAUAGAGUGCCACAGCUCCAUCGAUUUUCAUCUCAUAAUGCCAAUAUGCACCAACCAACGAUGUGACCUAAAACGUUUUGGAAGGAAUCAUUGUAUUAAAUUGCUCGCUUUUCCACAGGGACAGUGGGAAAAAAGGCAGUCUUUAAAGGAUGAGAAUAAACCAGCUACUGCAAUCUAACCUGCAAGUGCUGCACAACUGAAUGCCGGUGCUG
This 436-nucleotide long non-coding RNA is filed under the name Gallus gallus (chicken). RNAcentral's name for it is "lncRNA (ENSGALG00010019669.1)". The record is from RNAcentral. Lineage: Eukaryota; Metazoa; Chordata; Aves; Galliformes; Phasianidae.